UACGUAGGGGCGUAGCGUUAUCCGGAAUUACUGGGCGUAAAGGGUGCGUAGGUGGUUUCUUAAGUCAGAGGUGAAAGGCUACGGCUCAACCGUAGUAAGCCUUUGAAACUGGGGAACUUGAGUGCAGGAGAGGAGAGUGGAAUUCCUAGUGUAGCGGUGAAAUGCGUAGAUAUUAGGAGGAACACCGGUGGCGAAGGCGGCUUACUGGACGAUUACUGACGUUGAGGCUCGAAAGCGUGGGGAGCAAACAGGAUUAGAUACCCUGUAGUCCCUGAGCGGGCUGGCAA
This 287-nucleotide ribosomal RNA is filed under the name uncultured prokaryote. Its description in RNAcentral is "partial 16S ribosomal RNA". It matches the Rfam family "Bacterial small subunit ribosomal RNA", at positions 524 to 815 of the family's 1533-position model. The record is from RNAcentral.